AGCUCCAAUAGCGUAUAUUAAAGUUGUUGCGGUAAAAAAGCUCGUAGUUGGAUUUCUGUCGAGGGCGACUGGUCCACACCAUGUGUGCGCAUUGGAUCGGCCUUGGCAUCCUCUCGUUAGACGUUUCUGCGCUUAGUUGCGUGGAGCGGAUUUCGGGACUUUUACUUUGAGGAAAUUGGAGUGUUCACGGCAGGCAAUCGCCAGAACAUAUUAGCAUGGAAUAAUACUAUAGGAUCUUGAUUCUAUUUUGUUGGUUUCUAGAAUUAAGAUAAUGAUUAAUAGGGACAAUUGGGGGCAUUCGUAUCAACACGUCAGAGGUGGAAUUCUUGGAUUGUGUUGCGACGAACUACUGCGAAAGCAUUUGCCCAGGAUGUUUUCA
RNAcentral lists this ribosomal RNA (379 nucleotides) under uncultured eukaryote. RNAcentral's name for it is "SSU rRNA". It matches the Rfam family "Eukaryotic small subunit ribosomal RNA", at positions 587 to 972 of the family's 1831-position model. The record is from RNAcentral.